GAUGAACGCUGGCGGCGUGCCUAAUACAUGCAAGUCGAGCGAACAGAUAAGGAGCUUGCUCCUUUGACGUUAGCGGCGGACGGGUGAGUAACACGUGGGUAACCUACCUAUAAGACUGGUAUAACUCCGGGAAACCGGGGCUAAUGCCGGAUAACAUUUAGAACCGCAUGGUUCUAAAGUGAAAGAUGGUUUUGCUAUCACUUAUAGAUGGACCCGCGCCGUAUUAGCUAGUUGGUGAGGUAACGGCUUACCAAGGCAACGAUACGUAGCCGACCUGAGAGGGUGAUCGGCCACACUGGAACUGAGACACGGUCCAGACUCCUACGGGAGGCAGCAGUAGGGAAUCUUCCGCAAUGGGCGAAAGCCUGACGGAGCAACGCCGCGUGAGUGAUGAAGGUCUUCGGAUCGUAAAACUCUGUUAUUAGGGAAGAACAAAUGUGUAAGUAACUGUGCACGUCUUGACGGUACCUAAUCAGAAAGCCACGGCUAACUACGUG
This 497-nucleotide ribosomal RNA is filed under the name uncultured bacterium. RNAcentral's name for it is "partial 16S ribosomal RNA". It matches the Rfam family "Bacterial small subunit ribosomal RNA", at positions 28 to 507 of the family's 1533-position model. The record is from RNAcentral.